RNAcentral lists this ribosomal RNA (469 nucleotides) under Calliphona konigi. RNAcentral's name for it is "partial 16S ribosomal RNA". It matches the Rfam family "Bacterial large subunit ribosomal RNA", at positions 1853 to 2577 of the family's 2925-position model. The record is from RNAcentral. Lineage: Eukaryota; Metazoa; Arthropoda; Insecta; Orthoptera; Tettigoniidae.
UCGGGCCUCCCCCCUGAUAUGAUUAUUAAAGGGCCGCGGUAUUUUGACCGUGCAAAGGUAGCAUAAUCAUUAGUCUUUUAAUUGAAGGCUGGUAUGAAUGGUUUGACGAAAUAUAAGCUGUCUCUGUGUAAUGUUAUGUAAUUUAACUUUUGAGUCAAAAGGCUUAAAUAAUUAUAAAAGACGAGAAGACCCUAUAGAGCUUUAUUUAUAAUUUUAUCUAUGGUGUUUAGUAGAAGUAUUUAUGGAUAUAAAUUAUAUAUUUUGUUGGGGUGACAUAAAGAUAUAAUAAACUCUUUGUGAUUCAACCAUUGAUUUAUGAAUAUUUGAUCCAUUCUUAGUGAUUAGAAGACAAAGUUCCCUUAGGGAUAACAGCGUAAUUUUUUUUGAGAGUUCUUAUCGACAAGAAAGAUUGCGACCUCGAUGUUGGAUUAAGGAAUAUGACUAGGUGUAGAAGUUUAGUUAAUAAGUC